ACGGUCCUAAGGUAGCGAAAUUCCUUGUCGGGUAAGUUCCGACCUGCACGAAUGGCGUAAUGAUGGCCAGGCUGUCUCCACCCGAGACUCAGUGAAAUUGAACUCGCUGUGAAGAUGCAGUGUACCCGCGGCAAGACGGAAAGACCCCGUGAACCUUUACUAUAGCUUGACACUGAACAUUGAGCCUUGAUGUGUAGGAUAGGUGGGAGGCUUUGAAGUGUGGACGCCAGUCUGCAUGGAGCCGACCUUGAAAUACCACCCUUUAAUGUUUGAUGUUCUAACGUUGGCCCCUAAUCGGGGUUGCGGACAGUGUCUGGUGGGUAGUUUGACUGGGGCGGUCUCCUCCUAAAGAGUAACGGAGGAGCACGAAGGUUGGCUAAUCCUGGUCGGACAUCAGGAGGUUAGUGCAAUGGCAUAAGCCAGCUUGACUGCGAGCGUGACGGCGCGAGCAGGUGCGAAAGCAGGUCAUAGUGAUCCGGUGGUUCUGAAUGGAAGGGCCAUCGCUCAACGGAUAAAAGGUACUCCGGGGAUAACAGGCUGAUACCGCCCAAGAGUUCAUAUCGACGGCGGUGUUUGGCACCUCGAUGUCGGCUCAUCACAUCCUGGGGCUGAAGUAGGUCCCAAGGGUAUGGCUGUUCGCCAUUUAAAGUGGUACGCGAGCUGGGUUUAGAACGUCGUGAGACAGUUCGGUCCCUAUCUGCCGUGGGCGCUGGAGAACUGAGGGGGGCUGCUCCUAGUACGAGAGGACCGGAGUGGACGCAUCACUGGUGUUCGGGUUGUCAUGCCAAUGGCACUGCCCGGUAGCUAAAUGCGGAAGAGAUAAGUGCUGAAAGCAUCUAAGCACGAAACUUGCCCCGAGAUGAGUUCUCCCUGACUCCUUGAGAGUCCUGAAGGAACGUUGAAGACGACGACGUUGAUAGGCCGGGUGUGUAAGCGCAGCGAUGCGUUGAGCUAACCGGUACUAAUGAACCGUGAGGCUUAACCUU
Molecule: ribosomal RNA, 986 nt
Filed under: human gut metagenome
Description: bacterial LSU rRNA
Rfam family: Bacterial large subunit ribosomal RNA
Source: RNAcentral